ACCAACAGGGAUUGCCCUAGUAACGGCGAGUGAAGCGGCAACAGCUCAAAUUUGAAAUCUGGCUCUUUUAGAGUCCGAGUUGUAAUUUGCAGAGGGCGCUUUGGCGUUGGCAGCGGUCCAAGUUCCUUGGAACAGGACGUCACAGAGGGUGAGAAUCCCGUACGUGGUCGCUAACCUUCGCCGUGUAAAGCCCCUUCGACGAGUCGAGUUGUUUGGGAAUGCAGCUCUAAAUGGGAGGUAAAUUUCUUCUAAAGCUAAAUACUGGCCAGAGACCGAUAGCGCACAAGUAGAGUGAUCGAAAGAUGAAAAGCACUUUGGAAAGAGAGUCAAAUAGCACGUGAAAUUGUUGAAAGGGAAGCGCUUGCAGCCAGACUUGCCUGUAGUUGCUCAUCCGGACUUUUGUCCGGUGCACUCUUCUGCGGGCAGGCCAGCAUCAGUUUGGGCGGUUGGAUAAAGAACUCCAUCACGUACCACCUUUCGGGGUGGCCUUAUAGGGGAGUUGUCACACAACCAGCCUGGACUGAGGUCCGCGCAUCUGCUAGGAUGCUGGCGUAAUGGCUGUAAGCGGCCCGUCUUGAAACACGGACCAAGGAGUCUAACAUCUAUGCGAGUGUUUGGGUGUCAAGCCCGAGCGCGCAAUGAAAGUGAACGGAGGUGGGAACCCUUAAGGGUGCACCAUCGACCGAUCCUGAUGUCUUCGGAUGGAUUUGAGUAAGAGCAUGGCUGUUGGGACCCGAAAGAUGGUGAACUAUGCUUGAAUAGGGUGAAGCCAGAGGAAACUCUGGUGGAGGCUCGCAGCGGUUCUGACGUGCAAAUCGAUCGUCAAAUUUGGGCAUAGGGGCGAAAGACUAAUCGAACUA
RNAcentral lists this ribosomal RNA (860 nucleotides) under Coniothyrium chiangmaiense. RNAcentral's name for it is "eukaryotic LSU rRNA". It matches the Rfam family "Eukaryotic large subunit ribosomal RNA", at positions 64 to 942 of the family's 3401-position model. Lineage: Eukaryota; Fungi; Ascomycota; Dothideomycetes; Pleosporales; Coniothyriaceae. The record is from RNAcentral.